RNAcentral lists this ribosomal RNA (497 nucleotides) under uncultured bacterium. RNAcentral's name for it is "partial 16S ribosomal RNA". It matches the Rfam family "Bacterial small subunit ribosomal RNA", at positions 28 to 507 of the family's 1533-position model. The record is from RNAcentral.
GAUGAACGCUGGCGGCGUGCCUAAUACAUGCAAGUCGAGCGAACGGACGAGAAGCUUGCUUCUCUGAUGUUAGCGGCGGACGGGUGAGUAACACGUGGAUAACCUACCUAUAAGACUGGGAUAACUUCGGGAAACCGGAGCUAAUACCGGAUAAUAUUUUGAACCGCAUGGUUCAAAAGUGAAAGACGGUCUUGCUGUCACUUAUAGAUGGAUCCGCGCUGCAUUAGCUAGUUGGUAAGGUAACGGCUUACCAAGGCAACGAUGCAUAGCCGACCUGAGAGGGUGAUCGGCCACACUGGAACUGAGACACGGUCCAGACUCCUACGGGAGGCAGCAGUAGGGAAUCUUCCGCAAAGGGCGAAAGCCUGACGGAGCAACGCCGCGUGAGUGAUGAAGGUCUUCGGAUCGUAAAACUCUGUUAUUAGGGAAGAACAUAUGUGUAAGUAACUGUGCACAUCUUGACGGUACCUAAUCAGAAAGCCACGGCUAACUAUGUG